GGGUUUAGUGUUUUGCUGACGACUCUAAAAAAAAAAAAAAAAUUUCUGUAACUACUAUUUUUUUAUAUAUAUUUUUUAAAGACAUAAUAUAACAAUAUUUUGUUUCUUUUUCUAAAAGAUACCAAAUUUGAAAUAAUGAAAUCUUAUUGCUUGGUUAACCUAGAGGUUCACCCUAAAAGGUGAAUCCAAAAAUAACUCUUUAGCUAAUAUAAGUAGCAGCAGUCUAAUAUUAUUUCUUAAACGAAAUUUCUAUCUUUUGAACUCUUAACUUG
Molecule: long non-coding RNA, 272 nt
Filed under: Brassica napus (rape)
Lineage: Eukaryota; Viridiplantae; Streptophyta; Magnoliopsida; Brassicales; Brassicaceae
Description: long non-coding RNA (BNAP_LNC018898)
Source: RNAcentral